GAGCCGGUAGCUCAGUCUGGUAGAGCAACGGACUUUUAAUCCGUGGGUCGCGGGUUCGAAUCCCGCCCGGCUCA
RNAcentral lists this transfer RNA (74 nucleotides) under Hydrogenobacter hydrogenophilus. Its description in RNAcentral is "tRNA_Lys_TTT". It matches the Rfam family "tRNA". From Rfam's summary of the family: Transfer RNA (tRNA) molecules are approximately 80 nucleotides in length. Their secondary structure includes four short double-helical elements and three loops (D, anti-codon, and T loops). The record is from RNAcentral. Lineage: Bacteria; Pseudomonadati; Aquificota; Aquificia; Aquificales; Aquificaceae. RNAcentral also lists the same sequence under 1 other name.